This 253-nucleotide ribosomal RNA is filed under the name uncultured bacterium. Its description in RNAcentral is "partial 16S ribosomal RNA". It matches the Rfam family "Bacterial small subunit ribosomal RNA", at positions 524 to 776 of the family's 1533-position model. The record is from RNAcentral.
GACGAACCGUCCAAACGUUAUUCAGAAUCACUGGGCUUAAAGGGUGCGUAGGCGGAGAGGCAAGUCAGAGGUGAAAGCCCACGGCUCAACCGUGGAAGUGCCCCUGAAACGGCCUCUCUCGAGGGAGAUAGGGGCGUGCGGAACUCAGAGUGGAGCGGUGAAAUGCGUAGAUAUUCUGAGGAACACCGGUGGCGAAAGCGGCACGCUGGGUCUUUUCUGACGCUGAGGCACGAAAGCUAGGGGAGCAAACGGG